Molecule: long non-coding RNA, 417 nt
Organism: Gossypium arboreum
Lineage: Eukaryota; Viridiplantae; Streptophyta; Magnoliopsida; Malvales; Malvaceae
Exons: 3
Source: RefSeq, a predicted model, not a curated record
UGGUAUCAUCCUCAUCAAGUUGGCUGAAACUCUCAUAUACACCAUAGCUAGGGUUUUUCCAAGCUUUCAAGCUCAAUAAUCAAGAAAGGCGUGGAAUCGACCUCGAACGGGGGAAGGAAAAGGUUUUGGACUAAAUUGCAAAAUUUCCAUAUUUUGCACCGAGUGUCAUCCAGCUUGCACAGGAGUCAAGGAUCGUUGAAGAUCUGCCUGCACUAUUAAUAUUUUUGGCUAUUCGAACUAAAUAUUUUGAAUUAUGGCAUGUAUAGUAGACUUAGUUAUUUUGUUACGUGUCAUAAUUGUCUAGGUUUUACAAUAUUAAGUAUAGUAUUUGACCGAUUAUAUUGUACGAAGCUUUUGAAAUUGGCUAAUAUUAUUAAAGGCAUAUGUUAUAAUGAUUUAUGAUCUAAUUGUAUGCCA